GUCCACUAUGCAACGGCUAACCUUCCUCCACCGCGAAACGCCCACCGCCGCGCCGCACUCCGUCGAUUCCCCAACCCCGAUCGACAAGGACGCGCCGCCGGGAAGAAUCCGACCAUGAGCGCCGCCGCGGCCAACGUCGCCGUCAUCGGAGCCGGAAUGACGGGCGCCGUGUGCGCGUCGCUCCUAGCCGCGCGUGGGGUGGCGGUGACGCUCUUCGACUCCGGCCGCGGCCCCGGCGGCCGCAUGGCGCAGCGGAGGGAGGUGAUGGACGACGGCACGGAGCUGCGGUUCGACCACGGCGCGCCCUACUUCACCGUCAGCAACGACGAGGUCGCCCGGGUCGUGGGCGGGUGGGAGGCGCGGGGGCUCGUCGCCGAGUGGAAGGCCAUGUUCGCCUGCUUCGAUCGGGAGACCGGCAAAUUCAGAGACUUCGAUAAGGAGGGAACCAUGAAGAAGUAUGUUGGAGUUCCAGGCAUGAACUCAAUAUGCAAAUCCCUGUGUCAAGAGGAUGGUUUGGUGACCAAAUUUGGUGUCACUAUUGGAAAGAUGGAUUGGCUUCAAGAUAGGAGCUCAUGGUCUUUGGCUAGCUUGGAUGGCAAAGAUCUUGGCAGUUUUGAUUUUGUUGUGGCAACAGAUAAGAACAUAGCCUCACAAAAAGUUUCUGGGUUGACUGGAAAGCCACCGCCUCUUGAUUUGUCAGUAUUUCCACACUUGUCAGCAAUGAUUCAAGAUAUCCCAGUUCGCCCCUGUUUUGCUCUGAUGUUAGCGUUCUCAGAGCCUCUUGCGAUGGUACCUGUCCAAGGGUUCUCUUUCUACAAUUCUGAUUCUCUAAGCUGGGCCUUUUGUGAUAGUAGUAAGCCAGGACGUCAUGUACCUCCUAAUAGCCAAUCGUGGGUGUUGCGUUCAACCACCGAGUAUGCUUCUAAGGUAAUAGACAGUAUGGGUCCCCGGAAACCUUCAGCAGAUGCCCUUGCUAAGGUUGCAGAGGAACUGUUCAGAGAAUUUCAGGCUACAGGACUGAACAUUCCACAGCCAAUCUUUAUGAAAGCUCAUAGAUGGGGUGGUGCUUUCCCAGCAAUUUCUAUUGGCGGUGAUGAUAAGUGUGUCUGGGAGAAGAACAUGAAAUUGGCUAUCUGUGGAGAUUUCUGCGCUAGUCCAAGUGUCGAAGGGGCUGUCCUUAGUGGCAUGAGAGGAGCUUCCAAAAUCCUUGGAUGUUUAAACUUACCAUCAGGGUUGUGACUUGUGAGUUUUGACUGACAUCAAUUCUUCUUGAUUCCUCUCUGGUUUGUAUCUAUGUGUGCAUUUGUCGUUUAAAGAGAUGCACUUUUUUUGUACAGAAAUAAUUGGCAUGGUCCUAUAGGGAGGAUAUUGUUUGUUGAAUAUUACGUUAAAUAAGAAAUAAGUGCUGAUUUGGUGGCAAGAAUUCCAGGUGUAUCAUUUGAAGAUGUUUCUAUUGUUUUGCAUUUUUUAUCUGCUGCUUCACAGCUGGUCCUACAAGCCUCCGUUGCUCUGACACUAACAUGCAGUUUUGGUUUCCAGAAAUAGUGAGCACAUAUGAACUCAUGAAAGGCGAUCUAGAGAUAGGCAGAGCACUGACCGGACUAAUUCUCCAGUGACCUAUCCUGGAGUGUCACCAAACCAUUUUUAGAACAAUGUUCCUGGAUGUGGAUGCUGAAAAUCUCUUUGGAAUAUAGAGCCGGAAAUCUGGAAUUUAGGGUGUUAUAGAACAUGCGUGUGAUGCAAGUGAUCUAGGAGAAUAGCCUUUUGGUACAUGCUUGCUGAACCUGCAAGUUUGCCAGAUGAUGGACAAGUAUAACUGAUGGCUUUAUGAGGUCUGUUGGUCUCAAAUCUCAGACCGGCAUAUAUUUUAUGCAUCACAAUAGCCUUUGUCUGAUAAUACAUCCAUAUUUUAUUCUUAAGUACAUGGAAAUGUUUUUAAACCCUUUUCUUUUAUAUUGGAGUGUACUUCAUGAGAGAUUCACAGGGCUAGUUAAAGUAAAGGCAAGGUGAACUCAUUUACAUUCAGAAGAGAUAAGCUUCAGAAUUUGUUUGAUUC
RNAcentral lists this ribosomal RNA (2056 nucleotides) under Triticum aestivum (bread wheat). Its description in RNAcentral is "partial small subunit ribosomal RNA". Lineage: Eukaryota; Viridiplantae; Streptophyta; Magnoliopsida; Poales; Poaceae. The record is from RNAcentral.